Molecule: ribosomal RNA, 398 nt
Filed under: uncultured Oscillibacter sp.
Lineage: Bacteria; Bacillati; Bacillota; Clostridia; Eubacteriales; Oscillospiraceae
Description: bacterial SSU rRNA
Rfam family: Bacterial small subunit ribosomal RNA
Source: RNAcentral
UGGGGAAUAUUGGGCAAUGGACGCAAGUCUGACCCAGCAACGCCGCGUGAAGGAAGAAGGCUUUCGGGUUGUAAACUUCUUUGACAGGGGAAGAGCAGAAGACGGUACCCUGAAAACAAGCCACGGCUAACUACGUGCCAGCAGCCGCGGUAAUACGUAGGUGGCAAGCGUUGUCCGGAUUUACUGGGUGUAAAGGGCGUGCAGCCGGGCCGACAAGUCAGAUGUGAAAUCCCGAGGCUUAACCUCGGAACUGCAUUUGAAACUGUUGGUCUUGAGUGAUGGAGAGGCAGGCGGAAUUCCCGGUGUAGCGGUGGAAUGCGUAGAUAUCGGGAGGAACACCAGUGGCGAAGGCGGCCUGCUGGACAUUAACUGACGCUGAGGAGCGAAAGCGUGGGGAG